This 56-nucleotide small RNA is filed under the name Allocoleopsis franciscana PCC 7113. RNAcentral describes it as "Microcoleus sp. PCC 7113 Nitrogen stress-induced RNA 1". It matches the Rfam family "Nitrogen stress-induced RNA 1". The record is from Rfam by way of RNAcentral. Lineage: Bacteria; Bacillati; Cyanobacteriota; Cyanophyceae; Coleofasciculales; Coleofasciculaceae.
UGGUAGAUGCACCCUGUAAUGCCCCCCCGGAAAGUUUAUUUUUGGGGGGUUUUUAU